This 394-nucleotide ribosomal RNA is filed under the name uncultured Varibaculum sp. RNAcentral describes it as "bacterial SSU rRNA". It matches the Rfam family "Bacterial small subunit ribosomal RNA", at positions 81 to 476 of the family's 1533-position model. Lineage: Bacteria; Bacillati; Actinomycetota; Actinomycetes; Actinomycetales; Actinomycetaceae. The record is from RNAcentral.
ACUUUUUGGUGAGAGUGGCGAACGGGUGAGUAACACGUGAGUAACCUGUCCUUUUCUUUGGGAUAAGCUUCCGAAAGGGUGUUUAAUACCUUAUGUUCUGUCUGCCUCGCAUGGGGUGGGUGGGAAAGAUUUUUUCGGUAAAGGGUGGGCUCGCGGUCUAUCAGCUUGUUGGUGGGGUGAUGGCCUACCAAGGCUUUGACGGGUAGCCGGCCUGAGAGGGUGGUCGGUCACAUUGGGACUGAGAUACGGCCCAGACUCCUGCGGGAGGCAGCAGUGGGGGUUAUUGCACAAUGGGCGAAAGCCUGAUGCAGCGACGCCGCGUGGGGGAUGAAGGCCUUCGGGUUGUAAACUUCUUUUGCUCUGAACAAGGCGCACCGUGGGGUGUGUUGAGUGU